UGAGGAAUAUUGGUCAAUGGGCGAGAGCCUGAACCAGCCAAGUCGCGUGAAGGAAGACAGUCCUAAGGAUUGUAAACUUCUUUUAUACGGGAAUAACGGGCGAUACGAGUAUUGCAUUGAAUGUACCGUAAGAAUAAGCAUCGGCUAACUCCGUGCCAGCAGCCGCGGUAAUACGGAGGAUGCGAGCGUUAUCCGGAUUUAUUGGGUUUAAUGGGUGCGUAGGUUGUUCGGUAAGUCAGCGGUGAAAGCUGAGCGCUAAACGUUCAGCCUGCCGCAGAAAAUGCCGGUGUUGAGUUCAGUGGCGGCAGGCGGAAUUCGUGGUGUAGCGGUGAAAUGCAUAGCUAUCACGAGGAACUCCGAUUGCGAAGGCAGCUUGCCAUAAUGCGACUGACACUGAAGCACGAAGAAGUGGGUAUCAAGCAGG
Molecule: ribosomal RNA, 424 nt
Filed under: Fusobacteriota bacterium
Lineage: Bacteria; Fusobacteriati; Fusobacteriota
Description: Fusobacteria bacterium partial 16S ribosomal RNA
Rfam family: Bacterial small subunit ribosomal RNA
Source: RNAcentral